Molecule: long non-coding RNA, 2960 nt
Organism: Dermochelys coriacea (leatherback sea turtle)
Lineage: Eukaryota; Metazoa; Chordata; Testudines; Dermochelyidae
Exons: 3
Source: RefSeq, a predicted model, not a curated record
CAAAGGAAUUCCUGUGAGCAGGAAGUUUCAGUUUUCAACCUUCUAGGAAAAAGGGGAGAACCCAAUCCUGCUGAAGGGGAAAAUGAGUGUCCAGCCUUGAAAUUGGUAGCAGCUGAGAAUUUAAAAGCUAGUGUUUGUGUUGAUGCAAAUUACCUGACUGACUGGGGGGAAGAAAGAUUUGCUAAUAGCUGUUAGCAAAGAGAGCACAGCCAAUCAGCCAGUGAAUUCUGUUAAGCAAGAAGGAUCAAGGUUUGAUCCUUCAGGACAAGGAAGGGAAAAAUAACUUGAUUUUGCAAAGGGAAGACACAGGGUAACCCUAAAAUGCCCAAAACCCAAUUUUUAUUAAGCCAAAGGUGUGGCAUGACAAAAAUGAUUGUAAAUGGACACUUGCAAUGAAUUUGUUAUUGCUAAUGGUAAUUUUUGUAACUAAUGUGUUGCUAUUACCAAGAAGUGUAAAAACGUACAAUGUGCCUAAUCUUUUGAAAAAACCCUUGAACAUGUUAAAAGGAAUACACUUUAUGUUAAAAGGCCUUAUUAUACUGAAGUUUCACAGUUAAUACCUGUAAACAGCAUUGGAACUUUUCACAGGGGAAAAGACAUUCCAGACCUGAUAUACUGUAUGAAAAGGGAUACUAAGGCACACUACCAUAUUGCUUUCACAGCUAAAUGCCAAGAUUCCUAUACUGUGAAUAACAUUAAUAUCUACAUUGUCUUGAUAUUAAAUGGGUUCCAAACAUUUGCCAGAGCUUGUAUGAAUAAAGUAGCUAUGUACUUUAGCUCUUGUCAAAAUCAUACAAAACAUACAGGAACCAUGCUGCAAGAGCAGAUCCAAUCCACUAUUGUUCUAACCAAGUUUUGCCUUGAGUUUGUAAAGAAAUUCAGUGAUGUUAUUGAACAGAACUUGAAUAAACCAUUUCUGUUAUACACGAAUACUAGCUGUAGUAAGACAGAACCAAGGAUGGAGAACUCUCAGGAUGCAGUCAGUGAUGUUUGCGUCAUCCCUUCCUGCAUCAAUUGUGCAUUCGGGGUGUGACGUUAUUGACAUAAACUGACUGUACAGAUCAUUGUUGCAACCCCUGCUGCUCUGCCCUGGGAACAGACCCCUGCAGGUGGGGGCCCUGCUGUUCACCCUUCCCAUCUGCCCCAACAGUGCCCUCUGCAGGCCUGAGCCCUGACCUUGGGGGCGAGAAGGGCCAAGGGCCAGAGCCAGAGCAGCAGGCAGAGGCAGCUCAAGAUAAAGCUGCCUCCCUAGACAGCACCGCCAUGGGCUGCCUCUGCGCCACUCAGAUUUGGCCCAGCUGGGCAGAUCUGCCACCCUAGGCGCUGCAUGGCAUUCCCAGCGCUAGGGGCUGCUAGCUGUAGGGCUCAGCACUGGAGUGUUGGCUGGGGGCAGCCCCAUCGUGCCAGCUUGGAGAGUCAUGGCUGCAGGAGAGUCUGAGAAACAACAGACCGCGUGGCACUUGCCGCUUCGCUGCAGGCUCCUCCCCAGCAUGGCCUGGCUCUGAAGGUGGGGCACCACCUGUGCUGCAGUGGCUGCGAGUGGACCUGGCACUCAGGGUGGGGGGACAGUACCUGCCCCCUUCCUGUGGCCCCAGCUGAGGGCUCCAGAACAUGAAGAUCUGGUCGCUGGCACAGGAUUGGGUUGGGCUCCGGGGGAGGGGGAGGAGAAUCCAAUCUCUUUCACAGCACUGGGUAGGGGCCCAGUGUGGGCGUGACUGGUAGCAUCCUUGGGCCCUGUCCAGCCAGCCCAUUUUCUGCACUGAACAGCUGGCUUCAAACCCUUCAAUCCUUCAGUUACUGCAGGACAGUUCUCUCUCCCUCACACCCCUAGCAGGCCAAUGGAGGGGGGGGCCCUCUGGGACAGGGCAGGGGGCCAGCACCCCCCACACUGUGCCAGGGAGGAGACUGUGCUGAGGAGUGACCCUGCUGGGGCAGGGAUUGCAGGGCAGAGCAUGUGGCCUCACUGUCCACCCCCCUGUGCCUGUGGGAAUAGUAACACCCCACAGCCAGCACGGCCUCACACUUCUGGAGAUAGGGCCCCUCCCUCCUGCCCCACAGGCCAAUGCAAACCCAGAGCAGGCCGGGGCUACCCAACGGGCUGGGUGCCAGCAGCAGGAGGGCAAUGCGUCAUUGCUACAACAUCACGCGGCUGCCAGGUGUGCAGGUAGAGUCUGGGCCGGCCUGUUCCCUCUCUAGGGCCUGAGCCCUGCCCCCUGCGAAGCCAGCCCCAGCCCAGCAUUGUGGAAAGGUGAGUCCCGUGUAAUGGCUGGUGAGGAGUUGAGCAAGGGGUUGUCCCUGCCUGGCACUCCCUAGGGAUGUUACCCCUGCUGGCUUGCCCCUGGCUCCAGGGGAAGAUUGGGGGCGGGGAACCUGGAGCUCUGGGACAGUUCCCCUGCCGCAGCCCCUCUCUGGGCACCAUGGGGAUACCGCUGGCAUUUGAGGGACAUGCCCUAGAAAGGGGAGGUUGUGUGUGGUCCAACAGUGCCCUGGCACCCAGCUUUGCUCAGCACUGUGUUGCCACAACUUCUGCCCUCACACUGCCACCUCGGUGCCAUUGCUACAAUCUCAAGGAAAGCCCCGGGGCCAGGCCAGGCUGGACAAACUGGACAUGGACACUGAAUUCCCCUCUGCUCCGGAGAGUGCCCACCAGGGCAGAGCUGGGGCAGGGGAUGAGACAGUGGAAGGGAUGCCCAGUCUCUGAGCUGGCAGGGCCAGGAACCCAGCUGGGUGCAGGUGGGCAGCUCCUGCAAGCAUUGUGAGAGGUCAUGUCCUGUGCCCCAGGGCCCUGCCCCACACAUGCCUGGCUCCUAGUGUGGGCAGAGAGCUUUCCAGCACCAGGGCGUGCCCUGCUGGUGCCAGCCCCUAUGGCUGCACCCCUUGCCACUGGGCCCUCCCCUCAGCCCAGACAGCACCAGUAGUCGUGUAGGGCACCGGGCCUAGAACCAGGAUAAACAAUUCCC